GUCUUCGGAUGCUGACGAGUGGCGAACGGGUGAGUAAUACAUCGGAACGUGCCCAGUCGUGGGGGAUAACUACGCGAAAGCGUAGCUAAUACCGCAUACGAUCUAUGGAUGAAAGCGGGGGAUCGCAAGACCUCGCGCGAUUGGAGCGGCCGAUGGCAGAUUAGGUAGUUGGUGGGGUAAAGGCUCACCAAGCCGACGAUCUGUAGCUGGUCUGAGAGGACGACCAGCCACACUGGGACUGAGACACGGCCCAGACUCC
RNAcentral lists this ribosomal RNA (259 nucleotides) under uncultured bacterium. RNAcentral's name for it is "partial 16S ribosomal RNA". It matches the Rfam family "Bacterial small subunit ribosomal RNA", at positions 76 to 339 of the family's 1533-position model. The record is from RNAcentral.